Small nucleolar RNA from Anser brachyrhynchus (Pink-footed goose), 69 nucleotides. The record is from Ensembl. NCBI's taxonomy places the organism in Eukaryota, Metazoa, Chordata, Aves, Anseriformes, Anatidae.
GUGCUGUGAUGAAACGUGAAUGCCAUCUGACCUCAUCCCUGCGGAAACCCAGAGGCUGUUUCUGAGCAU